UUAGAGUUUGAUCAUGGCUCAGAGCGAACGCUGGCGGCAGGCUUAACACAUGCAAGUCGAGCGGGCGUAGCAAUACGUCAGCGGCAGACGGGAGAGUAACACGUGGGAACGCGCCCUUCGGUUCGGAAUAACUCAGGGAAACUUGAGCUAAUACCGGAUACGCCCUAACGGGGAAAGAUUUAUCGCCGAAGGAACGGCCCGCGUCUGAUUAGCUAGUUGGUGAGGUAAUGGCUCACCAAGGCGACGAUCAGUAGCUGGUCUGAGAGGAUGGCCAGCCUCACUGGGACUGAGACACGGCCCAGACUCCUACGGGAGGCAGCAGUGGGGAAUAUUGGACAAUGGGCGCAAGCCUGAUCCAGCCAUGCCGCGUGGAUGAUGAAGGCCCUAGGGUUGUAAAGUCCUUUUAACGGGGAAGAUAAUGACGGUACCCGUAGAAUAAGCCCCGGCUAACUUCGUGCCAGCAGCCGCGGUACGCC
RNAcentral lists this ribosomal RNA (476 nucleotides) under uncultured bacterium. Its description in RNAcentral is "bacterial SSU rRNA". It matches the Rfam family "Bacterial small subunit ribosomal RNA", at positions 1 to 526 of the family's 1533-position model. The record is from RNAcentral.